UAGUCCACGCCCUAAACGAUGCUAACUCGAUAUUUGGGUCUUGAACCUGAGUGUCUAAGCGAAAGCGAUAAGUUAGCCACCUGGGGAGUACGUUCGCAAGAAUGAAACUCAAAGGAAUUGACGGGGGUCCGCACAAGCGGUGGAGCGUGUGGUUUAAUUCGAUGAUACGCGAGGAACCUUACCAGGGCUUAAAUGUAGGAUGCAUUAGCUAGAGAUAGCUAUUUCUUCGGACUUCUUACAAGGUGCUGCAUGGUUGUCGUCAGCUCGUGCCGUGAGGUGUCAGGUUAAGUCCUAUAACGAGCGCAACCCUUAUCGUUAGUUGCCAGCAAGUAAAGUUGGGGACUCUAGCGAGACUGCCGGUGCAAACCGAGAGGAAGGUGGGGAUGACGUCAAAUCAUCACGGCCCUUACGUCCUGGGCUACACACGUGCUACAAUGGUAUGGACAGAGAGCAGCCACCUGGCAACAGGGAGCGAAUCUACAAACCAUAUCACAGUUCGGAUCGG
Molecule: ribosomal RNA, 505 nt
Filed under: uncultured bacterium
Lineage: Bacteria
Description: bacterial SSU rRNA
Rfam family: Bacterial small subunit ribosomal RNA
Source: RNAcentral